RNAcentral lists this small RNA (569 nucleotides) under Pongo abelii (Sumatran orangutan). RNAcentral describes it as "processed transcript". Lineage: Eukaryota; Metazoa; Chordata; Mammalia; Primates; Hominidae. The record is from RNAcentral.
GUCUCCUAAAAAUCCAGAACAGAAGAUCAUUAAGAGAGUGAUUGCUCUUGAAGGAGAUAUUGUCAGGUUUCCCUAGGACUUCUGCAUGCCCAUGCCACACAUAUCCUGUGGCCCCCGGAGCGCUGGCAGAAAUUGGAAUCUGUUCUUCCUCCAGAGCGCUUACCAGUACAGAGAGAAGAGGAAUGACUGCAUGAAUCUACCUGAGUUGCUGGCAUUGGGAGGCCAGUUACUGGAGAGGAAUGGAAAAAAGAAGCCUCCAAAAGGGAAAAACUUCUGACAGUAUGAUGCUGUGCGAGAAACAUUUACAGCACAUUAAGACGAUCUGUAUUAUUAAAUAAAUAAUUUUCAAAUGUUAAAAGUAUUAAAUGGCACCUGAUUUUGUGUUAAAUUUUAGUUCCCUGUUGUUUAAUGCCCAUAAAAUAUGCAGACCUUUGGGAAUAUAAAAAUAUUGCACCCACAUGUCUUAAUGGGGCUAAAUUUCAGAUUAUUUGUUACUUAUUAUAUUGAUUGUUGGGUUUUGAUUUUGGUGCUUGCUGCUGAAAUAAAUUGAAAAUAUUCAAUAAAAAUGA